Hippopotamus amphibius kiboko is the source of this 74-nucleotide non-coding RNA. The record is from the annotation of a RefSeq genome assembly. NCBI's taxonomy places the organism in Eukaryota, Metazoa, Chordata, Mammalia, Artiodactyla, Hippopotamidae.
UCCCUGAUGGUCCAGUGGGUAAGACUCUGCACUCCAAAUGCAGGGAGCCCAGGGUUCGAUCCCUGGUCAGGGAA